This 253-nucleotide ribosomal RNA is filed under the name uncultured bacterium. RNAcentral describes it as "partial 16S ribosomal RNA". It matches the Rfam family "Bacterial small subunit ribosomal RNA", at positions 524 to 776 of the family's 1533-position model. The record is from RNAcentral.
UACGUAGGCAGCAAGCGUUGUUCGGAGUUACUGGGCGUAAAGGGUGUGUAGGCGGUUCUUUAAGUUUGGUGUGAAAUCUCCCGGCUCAACUGGGAGGGUGCGCCGAAUACUGAGGGACUAGAGUACGGGAGAGGAAAGUGGAAUUCCUGGUGUAGCGGUGAAAUGCGUAGAUAUCAGGAGGAACACCGGUGGUGUAGACGGCUUUCUGGACCGUAACUGACGCUGAGACACGAAGGCGUGGGUAGCAAACAGG